RNAcentral lists this small nuclear RNA (109 nucleotides) under Vulpes vulpes (red fox). The record is from RNAcentral. Lineage: Eukaryota; Metazoa; Chordata; Mammalia; Carnivora; Canidae.
UUGCUCACUUUGGCAAUACAUAUUCUAAAAUUGGAACAAUACAGAGAAGAUUAGCACGGCUCCUGUGCAAGGACCAUACACAAAAAUUCAUGAAGCAUUCCACAUUUUU